Callorhinchus milii (elephant shark) is the source of this 410-nucleotide long non-coding RNA. RefSeq lists it as uncharacterized. The transcript has 3 exons. The record is from RefSeq and is a predicted model, not a curated record. NCBI's taxonomy places the organism in Eukaryota, Metazoa, Chordata, Chondrichthyes, Chimaeriformes, Callorhinchidae.
AGCGCCAGAACAAAGUGAUCUCUGGGCCUUCCUCGUCGCUGUGUGUCAGUAUCCCAACGAGUGAGAUUUUGUGGCUGAAGGUUCUAUCGGAAUAAUGUGAUGAAACGCGGCAUUAUUCAGGGAACGAUCCUUUCCCACAUGUGUUGAACAGACAAGGAUUGGAGCUGUGUGUUCCUAACCACUUCCUGCCGCGGCUGUGGAUAUCUUCACAAGCAUCAAAUGGACGGCCCAACGGUCAGAAGGAUGGUCUGAAAGGUGGGCAAAUGGAACAUGAUGACGCAAACCCGCGCGAAGCAGCUUAGAAACAGCUGCACGAAACCUCUCGGGGAAUGUACGUCUGUGCGCGCGGAGAUACUGGAAUGACUCAACGAACGGGAUCACACAAGACGGUGCUGCAAAUCGUGAACGGA